This 500-nucleotide ribosomal RNA is filed under the name uncultured bacterium. RNAcentral describes it as "partial 16S ribosomal RNA". It matches the Rfam family "Bacterial small subunit ribosomal RNA", at positions 30 to 523 of the family's 1533-position model. The record is from RNAcentral.
AUUGAACGCUGGCGGCAGGCCUAACACAUGCAAGUCGAGCGGCAGCGGGACCUUCGGGUUGCCGGCGAGCGGCGGACGGGUGAGUAAUGCCUAGGAAUCUGCCUGUUAGUGGGGGAUAACGCGGGGAAACUCGCGCUAAUACCGCAUACGUCCUACGGGAGAAAGCGGGGGCUCUUCGGACCUCGCGCUAACAGAUGAGCCUAGGUCGGAUUAGCUAGUUGGUGGGGUAAUGGCUCACCAAGGCGACGAUCCGUAACUGGUCUGAGAGGAUGAUCAGUCGCACUGGAACUGAGACACGGUCCAGACUCCUACGGGAGGCAGCAGUGGGGAAUAUUGGACAAUGGGCGAAAGCCUGAUCCAGCCAUGCCGCGUGUGUGAGGAAGGUCUUCGGAUUGUAAAGCACUUUAAGUCGGGAGGAAGGGCUGUAGGUUAAUACCCUGCGGUUUUGACGUUACCGACAGAAUAAGCACCGGCUAACUUCGUGCCAGCCGCCGCCGUAA